This 632-nucleotide ribosomal RNA is filed under the name Anaerovibrio sp. RM53. RNAcentral describes it as "bacterial SSU rRNA". It matches the Rfam family "Bacterial small subunit ribosomal RNA", at positions 94 to 712 of the family's 1533-position model. Lineage: Bacteria; Bacillati; Bacillota; Negativicutes; Selenomonadales; Selenomonadaceae. The record is from RNAcentral.
AGUGGCAAACGGGUGAGUAACGCGUAGGCAACCUGCCCUUCAGAUGGGGACAACAUUUCGAAAGGAAUGCUAAUACCGAAUGACGUGCAUUGGUCGCAUGACCGAUGCACCAAAGGCCGGGCAACCGGUCACUGAAGGAUGGGCCUGCGUCUGAUUAGCUAGUUGGUGGGGUAACGGCCCACCAAGGCGACGAUCAGUAGCCGGUCUGAGAGGAUGAACGGCCACAUUGGGACUGAGACACGGCCCAAACUCCUACGGGAGGCAGCAGUGGGGAAUCUUCCGCAAUGGGCGCAAGCCUGACGGAGCAACGCCGCGUGAGUGAAGAAGGUUUUCGGAUCGUAAAGCUCUGUUGUCAGGGACGAGAGACUUGAUCAGGAAAUGGGUCAAGGAGGACGGUACCUGGCGAGAAAGCCACGGCUAACUACGUGCCAGCAGCCGCGGUAAUACGUAGGUGGCGAGCGUUGUCCGGAAUUAUUGGGCGUAAAGGGAGCGCAGGUGGGAUUGUAAGUCAGUCUUAAAAGUUCGGGGCUCAACCCCGUGAUGGGAUUGAAACUACAAUUCUUGAGUGCAGGAGAGGAAAGCGGAAUUCCUAGUGUAGCGGUGAAAUGCGUAGAUAUUAGGAGGAACACCAG